This 776-nucleotide ribosomal RNA is filed under the name uncultured Neocallimastigales. RNAcentral's name for it is "partial large subunit ribosomal RNA". It matches the Rfam family "Eukaryotic large subunit ribosomal RNA", at positions 23 to 620 of the family's 3401-position model. The record is from RNAcentral. Lineage: Eukaryota; Fungi; Neocallimastigomycota; Neocallimastigomycetes; Neocallimastigales.
GAGAGAGAGACAUGCGCGCAUAUCAAUAAGCGGAGGAAAAGAAACUAACAAGGAUUCCCUUAGUAACGGCGAGUGAAGCGGGAAGAGCUCAAAUUUGAAAUCUUCAAGGUUUUACCUUGACGAAUUGUAGUUUAAAGAAGUGUUUUCUGCUGAAGUUUUGGUAAAAGUUCUUUGGAAUAGGACAUCAUAGAGGGUGAGAAUCCCGUAUUUGACCAUUAUUUUCAGCUUUGUGAUACACUUUCAAAGAGUCGGAUUGUUUGGGAAUGCAGUCCAAAAUGGGUGGUAAAUUUCAUCUAAAGCUAAAUAUUGGCGAGAGACCGAUAGCGAACAAGUACCGUGAGGGAAAGAUGAAAAGAACUUUGAAAAGAGAGUUAAACAGUACGUGAAGUUGUCAAAAGGGAAGCGUUUGACACCAGUGUUGUUUUCUCGAAAAUCAAUUAAAAAUGGCUCGAUUUUGUAUUGCUUGAGACCUUAAAAGCUCACUGUACAUUUUUCGUGUCUUUUUUAAUGCACUUUUCGUUUAACAAGUCAACAUCAGUUUCUUUUGUUGUAAAAGGGUCAUUGGAAGGUGGCUUUCUUUUCGGAGAAAGUGUUUAUAGCCUUUGGCCUCUGCAAUCGAAGAGACUGAGGUCUGCAGCGUAGACUCUGCGGGGUUAGAUACAUUUGCGCUAAGUUAUAGCUUUUUAUAGACAACUUGUUGACUAUAAUUAGUCUUGUAGCUUACUCGCUUAUGCUAUUUUACCUACGCUUAGGAUGUUGAAGAUGUAGCACAUCAU